UGGGGAAUCUUGGACAAUGGGCGAAAGCCUGAUGCAGCAACGCCGCGUGCGGGAAGACAGCCCUAGGGUUGUAAACCGCUUUCAGCAGGGAAGAAACUGACGGUACCUGCAGAAGAAGGUGCGGCCAACUACGUGCCAGCAGCCGCGGUGACACGUAGGCACCAAGCGUUAUCCGGAUUUAUUGGGCGUAAAGAGCUCGUAGGCGGUUCGGUAAGUCGGGUGUGAAAAUCCAAGGCUCAACCUUGGGACGCCACCCGAUACUGCUGUGACUCGAGUGCAGUAGGGGAGCAGGGAAUUCCUGGUGUAGCGGUGAAAUGCGCAGAUAUCAGGAGGAACACCAGUGGCGAAGGCGCUGCUCUGGGCUGUAACUGACGCUGAGGAGCGAAAGCAUGGGUAGCAAAACAGGAUUAGAUACCCUGGUAGUCCAUGCCGUAAAACGUUGGGCACUAGGUGUGGGUCUCAACCAACGAGAUCCGCGCCGUCGCUAACGCAUUAAGUGCCCCGCCU
RNAcentral lists this ribosomal RNA (507 nucleotides) under uncultured bacterium. Its description in RNAcentral is "bacterial SSU rRNA". It matches the Rfam family "Bacterial small subunit ribosomal RNA", at positions 355 to 874 of the family's 1533-position model. The record is from RNAcentral.